GACGAACGCUGGCGGCGUGCUUAACACAUGCAAGUCGAACGGAAAGGCCCUGCUUUUGUGGGGUGCUCGAGUGGCGAACGGGUGAGUAACACGUGAGUAACCUGCCCUUGACUUUGGGAUAACUUCAGGAAACUGGGGCUAAUACCGGAUAGGAGCUCCUGCUGCAUGUUGGGGGUUGGAAAGUUUCGGCGGUUGGGGAUGGACUCGCGGCUUAUCAGCUUGUUGGUGAGGUAGUGGCUUACCAAGGCUUUGACGGAUAGCCGGCCUGAGAGGGUGACCGGCCACAUUGGGACUGAGAUACGGCCCAGACUCCUACGGGAGGCAGCAGUGGGGAAUAUUGCACAAUGGGCGGAAGCCUGAUGCAGCAACGCCGCGUGCGGGAUGACGGCCUUCGGGUUGUAAACCGCUUUCGCCUGUGACGAAGCGUGAGUGACGGUAAUGGGUAAAGAAGCACCGGCUAACUACGUG
This 468-nucleotide ribosomal RNA is filed under the name uncultured bacterium. RNAcentral describes it as "partial 16S ribosomal RNA". It matches the Rfam family "Bacterial small subunit ribosomal RNA", at positions 28 to 507 of the family's 1533-position model. The record is from RNAcentral.